RNAcentral lists this ribosomal RNA (140 nucleotides) under uncultured eukaryote. Its description in RNAcentral is "partial 18S ribosomal RNA". It matches the Rfam family "Eukaryotic small subunit ribosomal RNA", at positions 1299 to 1458 of the family's 1831-position model. The record is from RNAcentral.
UGGUGGAGUGAUUUGUCUGGUUAAUUCCGUUAACGAACGAGACCUCGACCUGCUAAAUAGCGUGGCAAGCCUUCGGGCUUGUUCAUGACUUCUUAGAGGGACUUUGUGUUGUGAGCACAAGGAAGUUCGAGGCAAUAACA